AGAAAGUGGCGGCGUGCUAAUACAUGCAAGUCGAGCGGACCUCUUCGGAGGUCAGCGGCGGACGGGUGAGUAACACGUGGGCAACCUGCCUGUAAGACUGGGAUAACUCCGGGAAACCGGAGCUAAUACCGGAUAUUAUUUCAAACCGCAUGGUUUGAAAUUCAAAGACGGUUUCGGCUGUCACUUACAGAUGGGCCCGCGGCGCAUUAGCUAGUUGGUGAGGUAAUGGCUCACCAAGGCAACGAUGCGUAGCCGACCUGAGAGGGUGAUCGGCCACACUGGGACUGAGACACGGCCCAGACUCCUACGGGAGGCAGCAGUAGGGAAUCUUCCGCAAUGGACGAAAGUCUGACGGAGCAACGCCGCGUGAGUGAUGAAGGUUUUCGGAUCGUAAAACUCUGUUGUCAGGGAAGAACAAGUGCCGGAGUAACUGCCGGCGCCUUGACGGUACCUGACCAGAAAGCCACGGCUAACUACGUGCCAGCAGCCGCGGUAAUGCGUAGGUGGCAAGCGUUGUCCGGAAUUAUUGGGCGUAAAGCGCGCGCAGGCGGUUUCUUAAGGUCUGAUGUGAAAGCCCCCGGCUCAACCGGGGAGGGUCAUUGGAAAACUGGGAAACUUGAGUGCAGAAGAGGAGAGUGAAUUCCACGGUGUAGCGGUGAAAUGCGUAGAGAUGUGAGGGAACACCAGUGGCGAAAGGCGACUCUCUGGUCUGUAACUGACGCUGAGGCGCGAAAGCGUGGGGAGCGAACAGAUUAGAUACCCUGCUAGUCCACGCCGGUAAACGAUGAUGCUAGUGUUAAAGGUUCCGCCCGUUAUGCUGCAGCUACGCAGUAGCACUCCGCCUGGGGUAGUACGUCGCAGGACUGAAAGCUCAAGGACUUGACGGGCCCGCACAAGCCGUGCAGCAUGUGCUUAUCCGAGCCACGCGAGAUCGUUAACGAGUCCUGGACAUCGUGCCACUCAAAAUAAAUCGUCCUGGAUCAUGGACAGUAAACGGUGAGUCCAUGGUGUCAC
This 1014-nucleotide ribosomal RNA is filed under the name Bacillus sp. (in: firmicutes). RNAcentral's name for it is "bacterial SSU rRNA". It matches the Rfam family "Bacterial small subunit ribosomal RNA", at positions 30 to 1058 of the family's 1533-position model. Lineage: Bacteria; Bacillati; Bacillota; Bacilli; Caryophanales; Bacillaceae. The record is from RNAcentral.